This 496-nucleotide ribosomal RNA is filed under the name uncultured bacterium. RNAcentral's name for it is "partial 16S ribosomal RNA". It matches the Rfam family "Bacterial small subunit ribosomal RNA", at positions 29 to 507 of the family's 1533-position model. The record is from RNAcentral.
AUGAACGCUGGCGGCGUGCCUAAUACAUGCAAGUCGAGCGAACAGACGAGGAGCUUGCUCCUCUGACGUUAGCGGCGGACGGGUGAGUAACACGUGGAUAACCUACCUAUAAGACUGGGAUAACUUCGGGAAACCGGAGCUAAUACCGGAUAAUAUAUUGAACCGCAUGGUUCAAUAGUGAAAGACGGUUUUGCUGUCACUUAUAGAUGGAUCCGCGCCGCAUUAGCUAGUUGGUAAGGUAACGGCUUACCAAGGCAACGAUGCGUAGCCGACCUGAGAGGGUGAUUGGCCACACUGGAACUGAGACACGGUCCAGACUCCUACGGGAGGCAGCAGUAGGGAAUCUUCCGCAAUGGGCGAAAGCUUGACGGAGCAACGCCGCGUGAGUGAUGAAGGUCUUCGGAUCGUAAAACUCUGUUAUUAGGGAAGAACAAAUGUGUAAGUAACUAUGCACGUCUUGACGGUACCUAAUCAGAAAGCCACGGCUAACUACGUG